RNAcentral lists this small RNA (77 nucleotides) under Zea mays. Its description in RNAcentral is "Zm_79". Lineage: Eukaryota; Viridiplantae; Streptophyta; Magnoliopsida; Poales; Poaceae. The record is from RNAcentral.
AUUCAUGGACGUUGAUAAGAUCCUUCCAUUUAGUAGCACCUUAGGAUGGCAUAGCCUUAACGUUAAUGGCGAGGUUU